UACGAGGGGGGCGAGCGUUGUUCGGAAUUAUUGGGCGUAAAGGGUGCGUAGGUGGCGAGGUAAGUUGGAUGUGAAAUCCCGGGGCUCAACCCCGGAACUGCAUUCAAUACUGCCUUGCUGGAGUACUGGAGAGGAGAUUGGAAUUUACGGUGUAGCAGUGAAAUGCGUAGAUAUGCGGAGGAACACCGAUGGCGAAGGCAAUCCCCUGGGCCUGUACUGACGCUCAUGCACGAAAGCGUGGGGAGCAAACAGG
RNAcentral lists this ribosomal RNA (253 nucleotides) under uncultured bacterium. RNAcentral describes it as "partial 16S ribosomal RNA". It matches the Rfam family "Bacterial small subunit ribosomal RNA", at positions 524 to 776 of the family's 1533-position model. The record is from RNAcentral.